Molecule: non-coding RNA, 378 nt
Organism: Pelobates cultripes (western spadefoot toad)
Lineage: Eukaryota; Metazoa; Chordata; Amphibia; Anura; Pelobatidae
Source: the annotation of a GenBank genome assembly
AUUAGCUCCAGCCUGGAGCCCCCUUUAACACUUGCCCUUUUAAUACCCUUAUAAAAGUGUACAUUUUGUAUUGAUAUAUGGACUUUGCCAUAAUGUUUUGUCCUGGCUUGACUUUUUGCUUGAUUCUAUUUAGCUUAUAUACGCCUUAAAUUCGGUCUAAUCCUGGCCUUUUCUGAUAACAUACUCUUUUGUUCAAUUUGCUUACAGUGGUAAAACUGUCCUAUUGUACAGCCUUUGUAAAAUCCUCUGUAGUUGGUCUCCCACAGAUAAAGAACAUUGUCCAAUAGCCUUCUGUUUGUACAGUACAUUCUAUACUUUGUUCUGUUUGAUGUUAAAGUGAAAAGUUAUGAUGGAAGAUAUACUGCAGAGUAAAACGAG